This 775-nucleotide ribosomal RNA is filed under the name uncultured Candidatus Cardinium sp. Its description in RNAcentral is "bacterial SSU rRNA". It matches the Rfam family "Bacterial small subunit ribosomal RNA", at positions 627 to 1406 of the family's 1533-position model. The record is from RNAcentral. Lineage: Bacteria; Pseudomonadati; Bacteroidota; Cytophagia; Cytophagales; Amoebophilaceae.
UUGAUACUAUUAGGCUUGAGUUAAGAAGAGGUAAGCAGAAUUUAUGGUGUAGUAGUGAAAUGCUUAGAUAUCAUAAGGAAUACCAAUAGCGUAGGCAGCUUACUGGUCUUUAACUGACGCUGAGGCACGAAAGCGUGGGGAGCAAACAGAAUUAGAUACCCUGGUAGUCCACGCCGUAAACGAUGAUCACUCGAUAUACAUGAUACAUCAUGUGUGUCUAAGCAAAAGCGUUAAGUGAUCCACCUGGGGAGUAUACUCGCAAGGGUGAAACUCAAAGGAAUUGACGGGGGUCCGCACAAGCGGUGGAGUAUGUGGUUUAAUUCGAUAAUACGCGAGGAACCUUACCUGGGCUAGAAUGUGUUUUGCUACCUUGAGAAAUUGAGGGUUCCUUCGGGACGGAAUACAAGGUGCUGCAUGGCUGUCGUCAGCUCGUGCCGUGAGGUGUUGGGUUAAGUCCUAUAACGAGCGAAACCCUUUUACUUAAUUGCCAGCACGUAAUGGUGGGGACUUUAAGUAGACUGCCCGUGUAAGCGGGAGGAAGGAGAGGACGAGGUCAAGUCAUCAUGGCCUUUAUGCCCAGGGCUACACACGUACCACAAUGGCAUGUACAAAGGGAAGCUACUUGGCAACAAGAUGCAAAUCUCAAAAGCAUGUCUCAGUUCGGAUUGAGGUCUGCAAUUCGACCUCAUGAAGUUGGAAUCGCUAGUAAUCGCGUAUCAGCAAUGACGCGGUGAAUACGUUCUCGGACCUUGUACACACCGCCCAUCAAGCCAUG